RNAcentral lists this ribosomal RNA (236 nucleotides) under uncultured Staphylococcus sp. Its description in RNAcentral is "partial 16S ribosomal RNA". It matches the Rfam family "Bacterial small subunit ribosomal RNA", at positions 104 to 334 of the family's 1533-position model. The record is from RNAcentral. Lineage: Bacteria; Bacillati; Bacillota; Bacilli; Caryophanales; Staphylococcaceae.
GGGUGAGUAACACGUGGAUAACCUACCUAUAAGACUGGGAUAACUUCGGGAAACCGGAGCUAAUACCGGAUAAUAUUUUGAACCGCAUGGUUCAAAAGUGAAAGGCGGUCUUGCUGUCACUUAUAGAUGGAUCCGCGCUGCAUUAGCUAGUUGGUAAGGUAACGGCUUACCAAGGCAACGAUGCAUAGCCGACCUGAGAGGGUGAUCGGCCACACUGGAACUGAGACACGGUCCAG